UGGGGAAUAUUGCACAAUGGGCGCAAGCCUGAUGCAGCCAUGCCGCGUGUAUGAAGAAGGCCUUCGGGUUGUAAAGUACUUUCAGUCGGGAGGAAGGUGGUAAGGUUAAUAACCUUAUCAAUUGACGUUACCGACAGAAGAAGCACCGGCUAACUCCGUGCCAGCAGCCGCGGUAAUACGGAGGGUGCAAGCGUUAAUCGGAAUUACUGGGCGUAAAGCGCACGCAGGCGGUUGAUUGAGUCAGAUGUGAAAUCCCCGGGCUUAACCCGGGAAUUGCAUCUGAUACUGGUCAGCUAGAGUCUUGUAGAUGGGGGUAGAAUUCCAUGUGUAGCGGUGAAAUGCGUAGAGAUGUGGAGGAAUACCGGUGGCGAAGGCGGCCCCCUGGACAAAGACUGACGCUCAGGUGCGAAAGCGUGGGGAGCAAACAGG
RNAcentral lists this ribosomal RNA (429 nucleotides) under Chloroflexota bacterium. Its description in RNAcentral is "Chloroflexi bacterium partial 16S ribosomal RNA". It matches the Rfam family "Bacterial small subunit ribosomal RNA", at positions 355 to 776 of the family's 1533-position model. Lineage: Bacteria; Bacillati; Chloroflexota. The record is from RNAcentral.